RNAcentral lists this ribosomal RNA (497 nucleotides) under uncultured bacterium. RNAcentral's name for it is "partial 16S ribosomal RNA". It matches the Rfam family "Bacterial small subunit ribosomal RNA", at positions 28 to 507 of the family's 1533-position model. The record is from RNAcentral.
GAUGAACGCUGGCGGCGUGCCUAAUACAUGCAAGUCGAGCGAACAGACGCGGAGCUUGCUCCUCUGACGUUAGCGGCGGACGGGUGAGUAACACGUGGAUAACCUACCUAUAAGACUGGGAUAACUUCGGGAAACCGGAGCUAAUACCGGAUAAUAUAUUGAACCGCAUGGUUCAAUAGUGAAAGACGGUUUUGCUGUCACUUAUAGAUGUAUCCGCGCCGCAUUAGCUAGUUGGUAAGGUAACGGGUUACCAAGGCAACGAUGCGUAGCCGACCUGAGAGGGUGAUCGGCCAGACUGGAACUGAGACAACGUCCAGACUCCUACGGGAGGCAGCAGUAGGGAAUCUUCCGCAAUGGGCGAAAGCUUGACGGAGCAACGCCGCGGGAGUGAUGAAGGUCUUCGGAUCGUAAAACUCUGUUAUUAGGGAAGACCAAAUGUGUAAGUAACUAUGCACGUCUUGACGGUACCUAAUCAGAAAGCCACGGCUAACUACGUG